Molecule: ribosomal RNA, 421 nt
Filed under: uncultured bacterium
Lineage: Bacteria
Description: bacterial SSU rRNA
Rfam family: Bacterial small subunit ribosomal RNA
Source: RNAcentral
UAAGGAAUAUUGGACAAUGGAGGCAACUCUGAUCCAGCCGUGCCGCGUGAAGGAAUAAGGCCCUAUGGGUUGUAAACUUCUUUUAGACGGGACAAAACCCCUUUACGUGUAAAGGGUUGAUGGUACUGUCAGAAUAAGCAUCGGCUAACUUCGUGCCAGCAGCCGCGGUAAUACGAAGGAUGCAAGCGUUAUCCGGAAUUAUUGGGUUUAAAGGGUGCGUAGGUGGGCUUAUAAGUCAGUGGUGAAAUCUCCGAGCUUAACUUGGAAACUGCCGUUGAUACUAUAGGUCUUGAAUUAUCUGGAGGUAAGCGGAAUAUGUCAUGUAGCGGUGAAAUGCUUAGAUAUGACAUAGAACACCAAUUGCGAAGGCAGCUUACUACAUAUAAAUUGACGCUGAGGCACGAAAGCGUGGGGAUCAAAC